AUUGAACGCUGGCGGCAGGCUUAACACAUGCAAGUCGAGCGCAUCCUUCGGGGUGAGCGGCAGACGGGUGAGUAACGCGUGGGAACGUACCCUUUCCUACGGAAUAGCUCCGGGAAACUGGAAUUAAUACCGUAUACGCCCUUAGGGGGAAAGAUUUAUCGGGGAAGGAUCGGCCCGCGUUGGAUUAGCUAGUUGGUGGGGUAAAGGCCUACCAAGGCGACGAUCCAUAGCUGGUCUGAGAGGACGAUCAGCCACAUUGGGACUGAGACACGGCCCAAACUCCUACGGGAGGCAGCAGUGGGGAAUAUUGGACAAUGGGCGCAAGCCUGAUCCAGCCAUGCCGCGUGAGUGAUGAAGGCCUUAGGGUUGUAAAGCUCUUUCAGUAGGGAAGAUAAUGACGGUACCUACAGAAGAAGCCCCGGCUAACUUCGUGCCAGCCGCCGCCGUAA
This 449-nucleotide ribosomal RNA is filed under the name uncultured bacterium. RNAcentral describes it as "partial 16S ribosomal RNA". It matches the Rfam family "Bacterial small subunit ribosomal RNA", at positions 30 to 523 of the family's 1533-position model. The record is from RNAcentral.